UUUAGCCUUUCAAUAGAUUGGGAGCUGUUCCCUUGCAUUGAUGAAGAGCAUUAAGUAAGGGCUUCGCUAACCUCCAUCACACAUUUAUCAAGGAAGUCGUGGAAACAACUCUUUGGCAAAAGCAGCUCAUCGUCACAAAAUGCAGUUUGGAGAGACGACAUCUUCCCAGUUCCUAAGCCCUAAUAGCCCCUCUUUCCAAGCAGUACAACAAACAGUACAGGGUAUCCAGAACAGAUUAUGAACAGAAAACCAGCAGGGUGUUUGUUAGCACACAACAAGAAUUUGGAAAAAGACAAUACUACUACUCACCUUGACACGACAACUUCACUUCUG
Long non-coding RNA from Ochotona curzoniae (black-lipped pika), 333 nucleotides. RefSeq lists it as uncharacterized. NCBI's taxonomy places the organism in Eukaryota, Metazoa, Chordata, Mammalia, Lagomorpha, Ochotonidae. The transcript has 3 exons. The record is from RefSeq and is a predicted model, not a curated record.